Molecule: ribosomal RNA, 459 nt
Filed under: uncultured bacterium
Lineage: Bacteria
Description: partial 16S ribosomal RNA
Rfam family: Bacterial small subunit ribosomal RNA
Source: RNAcentral
CCUACGGGAGGCAGCAGUGAGGAAUAUUGGUCAAUGGGCGGAAGUCUGAACCAGCCAAGUAGCGUGCGGGAUGAAGGCCCUACGGGUCGUAAACCGCUUUUGCACGGGGAUAACACCCUCCACUUGUGGAGGUCUGCAGGUACCGUGCGAAUAAGGGCCGGCUAAUUCCGUGCCAGCAGCCGCGGUAAUACGGAAGGCCCGAGCGUUAUCCGGAUUCAUUGGGCUUAAAGGGAGCGUAGGCGGGCGUUCAAGUCAGCUGUAAAAUUGUGGGGCUCAACCGCGCCCCGCAGUGGGAACUGGAGACCUUGAGUUCACAACAGGCAGGCGGAAUUCGUGGUGUAGCGGUGAAAUGCAUAGAUAGCACGAGGAACCCCGAUUGCGAAGGCAGCCUGCCGCGGUGCGACUGACGCUGAGGCUCGAAGGUGCGGGUAUCAAACAGGAUUAGAUACCCUUGUAGUC